AUGGCUCAGAACGAACGCUGGCGGCAGGCCUUAUACAUGCAAGUCGAGCGCAUCCUUCGGGAUGAGCGGCGGACGGGUGAGUAACGCGUGGGAAUGUGCCCUUCUCUACGGAAUAGCCACUGGAAACGGUGAGUAAUACCGUAUACGCCCUCAGGGGGAAAGAUUUAUCGGAGAAGGAUCAGCCCGCGUUAGAUUAGGUAGUUGGUGGGGUAACGGCCUACCAAGCCUACGAUCUAUAGCUGGUUUUAGAGGAUGAUCAGCCACACUGGGACUGAGACACGGCCCAGACUCCUACGGGAGGCAGCAGUAGGGAAUCUUGGACAAUGGGGGCAACCCUGAUCCAGCCAUGCCGCGUGAGUGAAGAAGGCCCUAGGGUCGUAAAGCUCUUUCGCCUGUGAUGAUAAUGACAGUAGCAGGUAAAGAAACCCCGGCUAACUCCGUGCCAGCAGCCGCGGUAAUACGGAGGGGGUUAGCGUUGUUCGGAAUUACUGGGCGUAAAGCGCGCGUAGGCGGAUUGGAAAGUUGGGGGUGAAAUCCCGGGGCUCAACCCCGGAACUGCCUUCAAAACUCCCAGUCUAGAGUUCGAGAGAGGUGAGUGGAAUUCCGAGUGUAGAGGUGAAAUUCGUAGAUAUUCGGAAGAACACCAGUGGCGAAGGCGGCUCACUGGCUCGAUACUGACGCUGAGGUGCGAAAGUGUGGGGAGCAAACAGGAUUAGAUACCCUGGUAGUCCACACCGUAAACGAUGAAUGCCAGUCGUCGGAUAGUAUACUAUUCGGUGACACACCUAACGGAUUAAGCAUUCCGCCUGGGGAGUACGGUCGCAAGAUUAAAACUCAAAUGAANUUGACGGA
This 852-nucleotide ribosomal RNA is filed under the name uncultured Rhodobacterales bacterium. Its description in RNAcentral is "SSU rRNA". It matches the Rfam family "Bacterial small subunit ribosomal RNA", at positions 19 to 917 of the family's 1533-position model. Lineage: Bacteria; Pseudomonadati; Pseudomonadota; Alphaproteobacteria; Rhodobacterales. The record is from RNAcentral.